ACCAGAUUCACAAUUUUAUUGACCAACACGAGCAUCUCAAUUGCCACAUAAGUGCAACAUUUAACUGCCUAAAAUAAUUAUACUCUCAACAAGAGGUGCAUAGAUUUAGCUGAAGUACUAAACAGCAACAUAGAUGAAAUGCAAGCAUGUGAUUGUCUUUCUUGAGGGAAAAAACAAAAUCCCUACAAUCCUGCAAAUAACUGAAAAAGAAAUGAAACACAAAUUCAGAUAGAAGAUCACCACUGCUACAUUAGAGCCUUCAAACCUGCUUUCUUCAUAAAUAAGAUGAACUUGAUUACACUUUAAAACCUCUGCUCUUCCUCCUCCCUCUGGCCUUCUCAAACUUUCUUCCCUUGGCCCGGACAUAAGGCUUGGUGUGACUAUGUGGCACACCAGGUGCUGGACCAAAGUGCUUCACAGCUUCCCUAGCAUUCUUUGGGCCCCUGAGGAGAACCGUGUUCUGUCCCAGAGGUGCACGAAGAGCAAGCUGAUCAAAAGUAAGGCACUCGCCGCCAGCCUUAACAAUCCUCGCCCGCGCCGUCUCAGUAAACCUAAGAGCCGUCACCUUCAUCGCCGGAACCUCGUACACCCGCUUGUCGUCCGUCACAGUCCCCACUAUCACCGCAAUCUUCUCAUCCUUUCCACCCAUGAAAUUGAUGACGCGCUUGAGAGAGAUCGGCGGCUUGUUUGCCUUGCUCAUGAAAAGCCGCUUCAGGAUCACCGCAUUGAACUUGCUCCCCGUCCUCCGCACCAGAAACUUGUACAGCUUGACGAGGAGCUUGAGGUACACAUCGUCGGAUCUCGGAGCGGUACGCUUCGCUUUCUUGCUCCGGCCGCCGGCGACGAGGUCGAUGCCCAUGGCGACUGGUCG
RNAcentral lists this unclassified non-coding RNA (871 nucleotides) under Hevea brasiliensis (rubber tree). Lineage: Eukaryota; Viridiplantae; Streptophyta; Magnoliopsida; Malpighiales; Euphorbiaceae. The record is from RNAcentral.